GAAGAAGCCCAUGUUUGAGGCCUGCGCCCUGGCGGGAGCAUUGAAGGGGCAUCUGACACGUGACGAGCUGCUCCUGUGUACUGUGAUCACCGCGAGUUCAGAGGUUACACAACGCGUUGCUGAUCUAUCCAGGACGGCUUCAGGAUGGACUAUAAGAAGGAGGUUCAGUCCCGAUUGGGUCCGGCGCAACCUCAGGGAGUACAUAUACAGCGGCCUUGGUUUACGACGACGCACAAUGGCACAAAGAAGAACUAAGAGCAGCACUCUGGAGACUGAACAACCUCCUGAUGCGGAAAAUGAAUGGAUCGC
Bufo gargarizans (Asiatic toad) is the source of this 309-nucleotide long non-coding RNA. RefSeq lists it as uncharacterized. The record is from RefSeq and is a predicted model, not a curated record. NCBI's taxonomy places the organism in Eukaryota, Metazoa, Chordata, Amphibia, Anura, Bufonidae. The transcript has 3 exons.